Long non-coding RNA from Pleuronectes platessa (European plaice), 880 nucleotides. RefSeq lists it as uncharacterized. The transcript has 6 exons. The record is from RefSeq and is a predicted model, not a curated record. NCBI's taxonomy places the organism in Eukaryota, Metazoa, Chordata, Actinopteri, Pleuronectiformes, Pleuronectidae.
ACAUGACGUGUGGCUGUCGUAAAAACCCUAUUUGUAAACAACCAGCCCUUUAACUCGGGGCUGCGUCAUAAACACGGCGCGCUUGGAAGACCACGAUGUCAUCUUCCUUCUGUCAGGAGGAUCCAAGUGAAGCUACAGGAGUUUCAUUAACGUCAACAACUUGGACCAAACAGUUUGUUUUGCUUGAUGAAGAGCAGGAAGGGCAGCCUGGAGAGAAAGAGAAGCCGGGUUGAGCCCACUACCAUCAUCCAUGUACCACGAGGAAGAUGAGGGAGAGAAAUGAUCCUACCAUUAAAGAGACUGUGAAAAGAACGUUGAGAACAUCACCACUCUACAGGAAGACACAGUCCAGUAAUGGGUGUCAGAAGUUCAGUAGUGAACGACAGAAACAAACAAUCCAAAUUACCUGCAGAAAGCCCUUGAUGGACGCUUCAGCUGCAUCGUCAGACUGGCAGUACUGAUGCAUUUACUGAGAGGGGACGUGAGGGCCUACUCUGCGUGCUCAGAGUUCAAGCCCAGCAGGCUGCAGCGGGCCUGACAUAUUCUGGAACAGCAGCACAGUCUUUGGAUGACUCCUCUGAAGAUGAAAACAUGGCGAGUUCUUCUCAAGAGAAGCAGUACAGGUGUGCCUCAGCUCCACGGUCCCUCCUGCAGCCUCCGCUCCUGAUGCUAACCUCAUGUCUCCAUCACACCAAGCAGCAGACCUGGAUUGACAGACCUUUCUCCAGAGCUGCCCCCUCCCUCUGAAACCCCCCUCUCCAAAACACUAUUUGUGUAGUUUUUAAAGUAUUUUUUGCAUGAGAAUUGUUGAUCAUAACAUUUCCAGCAGAUGCCUUAAUAUAAUGUUUGUGCACAAUAAAUGACAUUGAUCAUAACAUAA